AAUAGAUACCCGGGUAGUCCUGGCCCUAAACGAUGUCCACUAGAUUGCGGCGGGUUUGACCCCGUCGCGGUCGAAGCAAAAGUGUUAAGUGGACCGCCUGGGAAGUACGGUCGCAAGGCUAAAACUCAAAGGAAUUGACGGGGGCUCACACAAGCGGUGGAGCAUGUGGUUCAAUUCGAAGCAACGCGCAGAACCUUACCUGGGUUUGACAUGCUUGGAUUAUCCCGGUGAAAGCCGGGUAGGCCCCGCAAGGGGUACAACAAGUACAGGUGCUGCAUGGCUGUCGUCAGCUCGUGUCGUGAGAUGUUGGGUUAAGUCCCGCAACGAGCGCAACCCCCGUCCUAUGUUGCCAGCAUUAAGUUGGGGACUCAUAGGAGACUGCCGGUGACAAACCGGAGGAAGGUGGGGAUGACGUCAAGUCAUCAUGCCCCUUAUGUCCAGGGCUACACACGUGCUACAUUGGCCGAUACAGAGGGUUGCGAUACCGCGAGGUGGAGCGAAUCCCAAAAAGUCGGUCUCGGUUCGGAUUGGAGGCUGAAACUCGCCUCC
RNAcentral lists this ribosomal RNA (549 nucleotides) under uncultured bacterium. RNAcentral's name for it is "bacterial SSU rRNA". It matches the Rfam family "Bacterial small subunit ribosomal RNA", at positions 777 to 1319 of the family's 1533-position model. The record is from RNAcentral.